ACACGUACCGUACGAACGUUAUUCGGAAUCACUGGGCUUAAAGGGUGCGUAGGCGGCUUGGAAAGUUGGGUGUGAAAUCCCUCGGCUCAACCGGGGAAUUGCGCCCAAAACUUCCAGGCUUGAGGGAGGUAGAGGUAAGCGGAACUUAGGGUGGAGCGGUGAAAUGCGUUGAUAUCCUAAGGAACACCAGUGGCGAAGGCGGCUUACUGGACCCCUUCUGACGCUGAGGCACGAAAGCUAGGGUAGCGAACAGGAUUAGAAACCCGGGUAGUCC
Molecule: ribosomal RNA, 274 nt
Filed under: uncultured bacterium
Lineage: Bacteria
Description: partial 16S ribosomal RNA
Rfam family: Bacterial small subunit ribosomal RNA
Source: RNAcentral